AGUGAACGCUGGCGGCGUGCUUAACACAUGCAAGUCGAACGAGAACGGAAUAUAGCUUGCUAUAUUUGUCAGCUAAGUGGCGCACGGGUGAGUAAUGUAUAGAUAACCUGCCCUUAAGAAAGGAAUAACAGUUGGAAACGACUGCUAAUGCCCUAUAUGCCUUUAAUACAUAAGUAUGCAAGGGAAACGCUUUAGUGCUUAAGGAUGGGUCUGUAUGGUAUCAGCUUGUUGGUGAGGUAAUGGCUCACCAAGGCUAUGACGCCUAACUGGUUUGAGAGGAUGAUCAGUCACACUGGAACUGAGACACGGUCCAGACUCAUACGGGAGGCAGCAGUGGGGAAUAUUGCAAAAUGGACGAAAGUCUGAUGCAGCAACGCCGCGUGGAGGAUGACACAUUUCGGUGCGUAAACUCCUUUUAUAUAGGAAGAUAAUGACGGUACUAUAUGAAUAAGCACCGGCUAACUCCGUGCCAGCCGCCGCGGUAA
This 485-nucleotide ribosomal RNA is filed under the name uncultured bacterium. Its description in RNAcentral is "partial 16S ribosomal RNA". It matches the Rfam family "Bacterial small subunit ribosomal RNA", at positions 29 to 523 of the family's 1533-position model. The record is from RNAcentral.